RNAcentral lists this small RNA (346 nucleotides) under Pongo abelii (Sumatran orangutan). Its description in RNAcentral is "retained intron". The record is from RNAcentral. Lineage: Eukaryota; Metazoa; Chordata; Mammalia; Primates; Hominidae.
GACGUUGUUGGGGUCCGCAGGGAUGCCUCCAUCACGCCUCUCAAUGUACCGCGCCACGUCUUCCCGGAUUAGCUGGAUGCCGGAGCUGACGCUGUAGGCCCCUGGACUCGGGCAGCACAGGAUGGGAGGUACAGAUGCGCCUGGAGCGAACGGGAAGGAAGGGAGAAGGCUCGUGGACCCUGGUGAGGCCACCACCCUCCCUGCUCAGAGCUCCCCCUGCUCUACGUCCCUCUGUGUUAAAGGUAAAGGCCCUACCUGUGCUCAGGUACCCUCUCCUCCCAAGCCACCUGGCCUUCUCACUCCCCUUCCUUCCUUACCAGUUCUGCCCUCCUCACUGACCAAGACA